This is a long non-coding RNA of Amphimedon queenslandica, 138 nucleotides long. RefSeq lists it as uncharacterized. Lineage: Eukaryota; Metazoa; Porifera; Demospongiae; Haplosclerida; Niphatidae. The record is from RefSeq and is a predicted model, not a curated record. The transcript has 3 exons.
GAAGACACAAGUAGAAGAGAAGAAACAGAUUAUUACUGAAGAUUAUGAGACACUCAAAGUAAAAGUAGCUGAUAUGGAGGAACAAUAUCUCAAGGAGAAACAGAUCAUUAUUGACGACAAUCAAAAUCUCAUUUCUGA